RNAcentral lists this ribosomal RNA (913 nucleotides) under Clostridioides difficile. Its description in RNAcentral is "bacterial LSU rRNA". It matches the Rfam family "Bacterial large subunit ribosomal RNA", at positions 268 to 1185 of the family's 2925-position model. The record is from RNAcentral. Lineage: Bacteria; Bacillati; Bacillota; Clostridia; Peptostreptococcales; Peptostreptococcaceae.
CCCAAACCAAUAAAGUUCUCUUUAUUGGGGUUGCGGACAUAUCAUAACGAAGAGGUAUCGUAAUUGAAGAGGUUUGGCAAGACCUACCACAGAAGGUCAUAGUCCUGUAUGUUAAACGAGAAGACUUUAGAUAUGAUCCAGAGUACCACGGGACACGUGAAACCCUGUGGGAAGCAGGAGGGACCACCCUCAAAGGCUAAAUACUACCUAGUGACCGAUAGCGUAUAGUACCGUGAGGGAAAGGUGAAAAGAACCCCGGGAGGGGAGUGAAAUAGAACCUGAAACCCUGCACUUACAAGCUGUGGAAGCACAUUUCUUGUGUGACCGCGUACUUUUUGUAGAACGGGCCAACGAGUUACGUUAAGUAGCAAGGUUAAGCACUUAAGGUGUGGAGCCGUAGCGAAAGCGAGUUUUAACUGAGCGUUCAGUUACUUGACGUAGACCCGAAACCGGGCGACCUACCCAUGAGCAGGAUGAAGCGAAAGUAAAAUUUCGUGGAGGUCCGAACCCACGAGCGUUGACAAGCUCGGGGAUGACUUGUUGGUAGCGGUGAAAUUCCAAUCGAGCCCGGAUAUAGCUGGUUCUCCCCGAAAUAGCUUUAGGGCUAGCCUCAAGGUGAGAGAUACGGAGGUAGAGCACUGAAUGUCCUAGGGGGUAUUGCACCUACCGAAGACUAUCAAACUCCGAAUGCCGUCAUCUUAUACUUGGGAGUCAGACUGUGGGUGAUAAGAUUCAUAGUCGAAAGGGCAACAGCCCAGAUCGUCAGCUAAGGUCCCUAAAUGUAAGUUAAGUGGUAAAGGAUGUGGGAUUGCACAGACAACCAGGAUGUUGGCUUAGAAGCAGCCACUCAUUCAAAGAGUGCGUAAUAGCUCACUGGUCGAGUGAUCCUGCGCCGAAGAUUUCCGGGGCUAAA